This 206-nucleotide long non-coding RNA is filed under the name Olea europaea (common olive). Its description in RNAcentral is "long non-coding RNA (OEUR_LNC014533)". The record is from RNAcentral. Lineage: Eukaryota; Viridiplantae; Streptophyta; Magnoliopsida; Lamiales; Oleaceae.
AUUCCUGGAGUUAACACUAGGUGCUAAAAUGGAGGGGAAGCCAUUUGGUUGAACAAACGCCCAGCGAAGAGAGCUCUCUUUGCGGAAGGAGUCCAAAUGAGUUGUGGGAACCUGGGAGCCAACAAGGGCACAUCCUGCGAUUUACCUCCCUGAACUGCUGAGGGGCCGGAGGUUCAGGGACAAGGAUCUAGUCGGACGCAAGCCCG